This is a long non-coding RNA of Talpa occidentalis (Iberian mole), 1161 nucleotides long. RefSeq lists it as uncharacterized. The record is from RefSeq and is a predicted model, not a curated record. The transcript has 5 exons. NCBI's taxonomy places the organism in Eukaryota, Metazoa, Chordata, Mammalia, Eulipotyphla, Talpidae.
CCCAACUGAUGGAGGUGUUAGAUGAUCGAGUCCUUUCCUUCAACCUAGAAUAGCAUGAUUUGGACUUAUAAUGGGGAACACCACAGUGUUUCCUUUUCUGUAUGAAAACUCAAUAGUUAUAGAGUAAUAUUAGAAGGUGCCAUGUCAAGAACAUAAAAGGAGAGGGUAAUACAUCCUGCUUUCUGAAGCACAUUUGCCAUCCACAGUUCCUGCAUUCUGCAUGGACACAAAGGAGAGAGUGAUAGCACCGAAUAUCUAGAUGCUUUUCUCAUCCCCACCCCUCCAUAAGAUCUUUAUCUGGCCCUUUAAACGGAGAAGUGAAAAAACAAAUGAGACAGCAUGAGAAAUUCUCUUGCCACUAACUGAGAGCAGUUUAUCACCUUUAGAAUAUCUAAUGUUAAAACUUCAAAGAGAAUACAUGGGACAGUCCGAGCCUCAUCCGAUUGUCCUGCUUGUCCUGGAGUUCAGAUCUGAGAUGAAUCCUAGUGGAUGUGGAUUUACAUGUCAGUACCUGAAAGUGGCUCAGCCCCCACCCUGGAAUGAAGUGCCUCAUUUCAUAACAGGUUAUCAUCAUCCAUCAAGAACAGGUCAACAAAAAUGGCUGCGUGUAAACCGUGAGUGCAUGAGUUGCUAAAGAGCAGAAGAGGAGAGAAUGGAGGACAGAAGUCAGGAGAAGGAUUCUGAAUUUUCCAACAGUCAGCUCUGCUCAUCUUGCCAGUUCGUGUAGAUGGCUCCUAACUCUAGUUGUACACCAGUGAAUAGGAUCUUUAUGACUUUUUCUAAUCGGCAGACCAGAAAACUGCCAAAAGAGUCACACUUUUAAAGGAGAUCCUGACCAAUAGCUAGAAAAGCUGGUUAUGGGCCUCGUCCCUGACACUAAAAUGUAUUGGUGGCAACAUGCUUCGUGGGAAGGGGACGAGCAAGUCCAAGAGAAAGUGCUUAUCAUAUUAGACACUGGGCAAAUUACUACCACAUACCCAGUGGCAAGUGAUGGACCCAGGAAGCAAAGGAUAUUGGAGUUGAGACGCCAGAUCAGAUGGAGUUCUUACCGUCUCUAGCAGGCUGCCUCUAUAUUCCCCACGGUAAAAUGGGUGUUAUAACAGCACUUACAUCUUGGGUUAUUGUGAAGAUGAAAUAAAAUUAUCUAUGUAAAGAAUUGAA